GUGGGUGUGGGAUACGAGUACGAAUUUGUACAUUGUCAAAGGGACUCAGUGUUAGGAGGAAGUUUUAUGGUUGUUCAAAUUAUGGUGUAAGUUAUUAUAUUUACCUUAAUAAAAUUUUAAAUUUUUACACAUAAUCAUAACAAUUGACUACUGUAUGUUUAAUUUUCUACAGACCCAAGCAUUUUGUGGCUUUUUUCAAUGGAUUGACUUUAUCCAGACGUUAGAAGAUGCUGGGCUAGAGAAUGAUUCGGGUCUGUUGAAUAUGAGAAGCAUAGAAAUUGACCUACAAAUGAUGAAGGAGAAAGCUCAUGAAUUGGGAGUGCAAGUAUCGAAAUUGGAAAAAAAGAAAG
RNAcentral lists this long non-coding RNA (350 nucleotides) under Panax ginseng (ginseng). Its description in RNAcentral is "long non-coding RNA (PGIN_LNC006872)". The record is from RNAcentral. Lineage: Eukaryota; Viridiplantae; Streptophyta; Magnoliopsida; Apiales; Araliaceae.